This 450-nucleotide ribosomal RNA is filed under the name uncultured bacterium. Its description in RNAcentral is "partial 16S ribosomal RNA". It matches the Rfam family "Bacterial small subunit ribosomal RNA", at positions 354 to 796 of the family's 1533-position model. The record is from RNAcentral.
GUGGGGAAUCUUCCGCAAUGGACGAAAGUCUGACGGAGCAACGCCGCGUGAGUGAUGAAGGUCUUCGGAUUGUAAAGCUCUGUUAAUCGGGACGAAAGAGCCUAGUGUGAAUAAUGCUAGGAAGUGACGGUACCGGAAUAGAAAGCCACGGCUAACUACGUGCCAGCAGCCGCGGUAAUACGUAGGUGGCAAGCGUUGUCCGGAAUUAUUGGGCGUAAAGCGCGCGCAGGCGGAUCUGCCAGUCUGUCUUAAAAGUUCGGGGCUUAACCCCAGGAUGGGAUGUAAACUACAGAUCGAGGGGAUCGGAGAGGAAAGUGGAAUUCCUAGUGUAGCGGUGAAAUGCGUAGAUAUUAGGAGGAACACCAGUGGCGAAGGCGGCUAUCUGGACAGUAACUGACGCUGAGGCGCGAAAGCGUGGGGAGCAAACAGGAUUAGAAACCCCUGUAGUCC